Molecule: non-coding RNA, 28 nt
Filed under: Homo sapiens (human)
Lineage: Eukaryota; Metazoa; Chordata; Mammalia; Primates; Hominidae
Source: RNAcentral
UGAUCAUAGAGCAUCCUGCCUACUUCUU